This 249-nucleotide ribosomal RNA is filed under the name uncultured bacterium. Its description in RNAcentral is "partial 16S ribosomal RNA". It matches the Rfam family "Bacterial small subunit ribosomal RNA", at positions 15 to 253 of the family's 1533-position model. The record is from RNAcentral.
GAUCCUGGCUCAGGAUGAACGCUAGCUACAGGCUUAACACAUGCAAGUCGAGGGGCAGCGGGAUUGAAGCUUGCUUCAAUUGCCGGCGACCGGCGCACGGGUGAGUAACGCGUAUCCAACCUUCCGUACACUCAGGGAUAGCCGUUUCGAAAGAAAGUAUUAAUACCUGAUGGUAUCUUAAGCACACAUGUAAUUAAGAUUAAAGNUUUAUCGGUGUACGAUGGGGAUGCGUUCCAUUAGGUAGUAGGG